Molecule: ribosomal RNA, 462 nt
Filed under: uncultured bacterium
Lineage: Bacteria
Description: partial 16S ribosomal RNA
Rfam family: Bacterial small subunit ribosomal RNA
Source: RNAcentral
GACGAACGCUGGCGGCGUGCUUAACACAUGCAAGUCGAGCGGAAAGGCCCUUCGGGGUACUCGAGCGGCGAACGGGUGAGUAACACGUGAGUAACCUGCCCCAGACUUUGGGAUAACCCUCGGAAACGGGGGCUAAUACCGGAUACGACACAGCUUCGCAUGGGGUCUGUGUGGAAAGUUUUUCGGUUUGGGAUGGGAUCGCGGCCUAUCAGCUUGUUGGUGGGGUGAUGGCCUACCAAGGCGACGACGGGUAGCCGGCCUGAGAGGGCGACCGGCCACACUGGGACUGAGACACGGCCCAGACUCCUACGGGAGGCAGCAGUGGGGAAUAUUGCACAAUGGGCGGAAGCCUGAUGCAGCGACGCCGCGUGAGGGAUGACGGCCUUCGGGUUGUAAACCUCUUUCAGCAGGGACGAAGCGUAAGUGACGGUACCUGCAGAAGAAGCGCCGGCCAACUACGUG